AAUAAAGUGUCUGAAUAAAAGUAUUAAACUGUAAUUUUAAAAAUGAGUAAAGUAUACUCCUUUAUUU
RNAcentral lists this transfer RNA (67 nucleotides) under Coleoptera sp. 15 KM-2017. RNAcentral's name for it is "tRNA-Tyr". The record is from RNAcentral. Lineage: Eukaryota; Metazoa; Arthropoda; Insecta; Coleoptera.